GUGCGAUCUUCUCAGAAAUCUUUCAUUAAAGUUUCCCUGAACAAUUCAGGCUGGAGCAGAGAAGUCAUUAGUUGCAUCAGUGGAAGUCUGAGAAAACAAUCAGAGAGUGUGAACAGGGUCUGUAGAUUACCAGAAAGAUCACCCUGUGCCUCACAAUAUAAUGCAGGUAUUUUCUGUGUGGGCAGUUCAUGUCUUCUAAAAGCAUAUCAAUUUUAUAUGCAACAUGUACUUCAAUUCUGAUCUUUUUUCUUCCAGAUUUUGCUGGUGUUUGUCUUGAAUGUUUCAUCAUCACAACCCUACUGCUGAUCUCUUUAAGCUGGGUCAUGCAACACUCCCAAAUCAAAUGUUCUCUGCCUUUGGACUUUGGUAGGGAGAACCUAGAAAAUGCACACAGGGCACAAAACAGAGGCAACUGUUUACUUUGCAAGCACCAUACAAAUGAAGGGCUGAGACACAAACCUAUUUAGCGGGCUGUUAAUGUCUAAGUCAAAAACCUAAAACUUAAACAGAAACAUAAUUCACUUUCUGCUUGCAGGUUAUUAUAUGUAGCUAUGUUCCACUGAUGGGUUUGUUCUACGUUUUUCACUGGAUGGAGCACUUUCACCAAAACCAACAGUGAAUUUUCUUACAGCUUUCAGUUUAUCUUCCCUUUACCCCAACAAAUAUAUUGUACCAUCAGUGCAAAAAUUGUGGUGCAUCAUAUACUGGAUAACUUGCAGGAAUAGAACAAAACAAACGCAUUUAACAUCUUGAUAUGGAACUACCUUCCUCUCCUCCACAUCUGCUUAUUUAAAAGGUUUUGAUAGACCGAUUUCCUUUGAUGCUUCCACAGUCCCACACAAUACACAUACACCUUUCUGCAGGGUACCUUCAGACCUCAGAGCACGCCAUUUUGUCAGUCACAAGUGAUCAGUGUGACUCUUUUCCAAGUAAAACUAAAACUGCAGUUCUCACAUAGUGCAUUAAGCAUGAACGGAGCUCAGGCUCUAUUACAGAUUAACCUCGGCUCUGUGUGAGAAGAUGCUAAUGUGAAUGAGAGCUAUUUGUUCAGAAUGCAAUAAUUCAGAUCCAGGAUUCCUGACAGGCUUUUUUGGUACAUCAGGUUUAACAAAUUAGCACAUCCCCAUCCUCCUCACCCCCAAAAAAUCACAAAUGAGAAAGUAAGGUGAAGGCCAUGACAGUUUAUUUGGGAAAACUGUACCUGUCUGAUAAUGUUGUAUACAUAUCACAGCUUAAUAUCCCCAUGGACAUGUACAUUUCGUUAAUACUAACCUCCUAGAAUACUUCAACUGGACCAAGAUCAAUUUCUGAUCAGGUCUUAAUACCAUCACACAUAAUUACUUUGAUUGUAGUCUGAUCUAAUUACUGCAAAAUCAUUUAACAAAACAGUAUCUGGCUUAACCAACCAUAAGCCAUGUAACAGCUCAAACCUGGCUCAUUGAUGGUUCAGGUAAUUAAAUGACUCAG
This 1467-nucleotide long non-coding RNA is filed under the name Chrysolophus pictus (golden pheasant). RNAcentral's name for it is "lncRNA (ENSCPIG00010004815.1)". The record is from RNAcentral. Lineage: Eukaryota; Metazoa; Chordata; Aves; Galliformes; Phasianidae.